RNAcentral lists this ribosomal RNA (429 nucleotides) under Bacillota bacterium. Its description in RNAcentral is "Firmicutes bacterium partial 16S ribosomal RNA". It matches the Rfam family "Bacterial small subunit ribosomal RNA", at positions 355 to 776 of the family's 1533-position model. The record is from RNAcentral. Lineage: Bacteria; Bacillati; Bacillota.
UAGGGAAUCUUCGGCAAUGGACGGAAGUCUGACCGAGCAACGCCGCGUGAGUGAAGAAGGUUUUCGGAUCGUAAAGCUCUGUUGUUAGAGAAGAACGUUGGUAGGAGUGGAAAAUCUACCAAGUGACGGUAACUAACCAGAAAGGGACGGCUAACUACGUGCCAGCAGCCGCGGUAAUACGUAGGUCCCGAGCGUUGUCCGGAUUUAUUGGGCGUAAAGCGAGCGCAGGCGGUUCUUUAAGUCUGAAGUUAAAGGCAGUGGCUUAACCAUUGUACGCUGUGGAAACUGGAGGACUGGAUUGCAGAAGGGGAGAGUGGAAUUCCAUGUGUAGCGGUGAAGUGCGUAGAUAUAUGGAGGAACACCGGUGGCGAAAGCGGCUCUCUGGUCUGUAACUGACGCUGAGGCUCGAAAGCGUGGGGAGCAAACAGG